UCCCAGCAACCACUUAACCUGGCUGAGUGUUAGUCUUCCUAUCUAUCAAGUGGGGAUAAUGACACCUACCUCAGCUGGUGGCUGCCAGCUCUGAAUGAAACUACUGCAGGGAGGCCCACAGGAAGCCCUUGAUGCCCCUUCACUGUACUGUUAUCCGGAUGGGCAAGAGUCCUCAGUCUCUCUACCAGUCGUACCAAGACGUUCAUCCUAAGACCCAUCCUCCCAGCUCCCUAGAUGAAGCACCUGCUGCUCUCGCCGUUUGGUAAAUGAAUCCUUGUUCACGCCUGUGACACAGGAGCACUUUCUUUAAGAAGGCUAAAACUGGAUGAUUCAACACAAGGAGAGAGAGAUGUUAGAGUUGGAUGAAAAGAGAAGAAGAAACAUUAGCCAUGUGGAUUUCCUAAGACAUUUUCCCCUGAGUUGAACUUCACAUCUCUUCUUGCUCAGCAUAGAAUGAAUCAAAGCUCCUGAAAGGCAGCCUGGAGAAAGGGAGUGUGACAUGUGAGAAGGGUCUUGUUGGACCCGCUCUCCCAAAAGCACCCAUCAGCUGCAUCUUCUUCCAUGAAGAAGAGGACGAGAAAGGAGAGGCUGCUGAUUCUUCUAGGAAUCACCCUACCUUCCCAGACUCUGGACACAUGCCUUUCCCAUUAUGUGUUGAAAUGGAAGUAACAGGAGGUUCUGUGACUAUGGGGAGACGGAAACCGAAAGUACGGCCACUGAGGAAGAUUAAACUCAACUUGACCUCCAAGGCUGAUGGAUAAAUGAUGAUUAGAAAGAGGAUAUGCAUAUCUAAAUUGCAUUCUAUCUCUACUGCAGUCUAACGACAUUACUAAAAUUGCCGUUUGAUAAUCCAUCAAAGUGAAAAUGUGUCCACUUAUCUCCGGCUAUAAAAACAAUCAUUGAUUCAGUCUCUCAACAUGGGUACUGCCAGAUUGUCAUGGGCAGAUGGUCAGACUAUUGCACUGGAGUUGGAUCCAAAUCACCCCUGUGUUUCCUCUUUCUGUUGAUUUUUCCUCUUCUCUUCCUUAUCUCCCCAGUAAGUAUUUAUUAUGCUCCUGCUGUGUGUUUAACAAGAUCUGGUUUUCAGCUGUUCACCUUGCUGACUGGUGAUCUUGGCCGAGUCACUUGACAUCUUGGAGGCUUGAUUUCUCCUCUGAAAAAGCGGAA
Long non-coding RNA from Odocoileus virginianus texanus, 1167 nucleotides. RefSeq lists it as uncharacterized. The record is from RefSeq and is a predicted model, not a curated record. NCBI's taxonomy places the organism in Eukaryota, Metazoa, Chordata, Mammalia, Artiodactyla, Cervidae.